UACGGAGGAUCCAAGCGUUAUCCGGAAUCAUUGGGUUUAAAGGGUCCGUAGGCGGUUUUGUAAGUCAGUGGUGAAAGCCAAUCGCUCAACGGUGGAACGGCCAUUGAUACUGCAAGACUUGAAUUAUUAGGAAGUAACUAGAAUAUGUAGUGUAGCGGUGAAAUGCUUAGAUAUUACAUGGAAUACCAAUUGCGAAGGCAGGUUACUACUAAUGGAUUGACGCUGAUGGACGAAAGCGUGGGGAGCGAACAGG
This 253-nucleotide ribosomal RNA is filed under the name uncultured bacterium. RNAcentral describes it as "partial 16S ribosomal RNA". It matches the Rfam family "Bacterial small subunit ribosomal RNA", at positions 524 to 776 of the family's 1533-position model. The record is from RNAcentral.